This is a long non-coding RNA of Octopus bimaculoides (California two-spot octopus), 343 nucleotides long. The record is from RefSeq and is a predicted model, not a curated record. Lineage: Eukaryota; Metazoa; Mollusca; Cephalopoda; Octopoda; Octopodidae.
GGAACCUUGAAAUGAAUGAAAUCCUAAUAGAAGACUAUGAAGAUUACGACAUAAAAUGAAACAGGCAUGUGAAGACAGUGACUAAAGUCCCUUCAUAUGAACCAAACCAAUAGAAAAAAAACAUAAAACAGCUUAACAUUUGUUUUCAAGCAGGAAGACCACGUUUUUAGAAAAAUUUCUCAUGACAGUUUUACUUGAAUAAGCAAUUAAUUAAAAGGUACCGUGAAUAAUGUGUUGUGUGUAAUGGUGUUCUGGGACAUUUGAGGAAUGUUCCCAUGUUGAAGGAGGACAUUUCGACCAUUUACGAGGUUAAACUGUGUUUCAUAAAUGAAAUUGUAAUAAA